AUCGGCUUAAACGGACAAGGUACAAGAUGUUAAUAACCAAAAAGCUGACUGUCUCUGAAGCAAAGGCAGGUAACCAAACAUGCACAAAAUGGAACGCAGCCAUGGAUAAACAAGAGAACAUGAUUGAAAGGAUUGCAUCUUUAGCCAUUCCAGACAUAAAUUAGAGAUAAAUUACAGCCCGUUCAUCAAACCAAUGAAAAAGCCACUACAGACUAGGCAAUUACAUACAGAAUCCAACCAACCAAAGCUCCUCUUCCUCUCCCUGCUAUCGACCUAAGCGGUGUCGCGAUAGUAGUCUAUGGUGGCGGCUACUCCUUGGCGGCGACCUUCUUCUUGGGGGACUUGGUGGAGGUCUUCUUCUUGGGCGACUUGGCCUCCUUCUCGGCGGCGGCGGGGGACUUCUUGGGGAGCAGCACGGAGUUGAUGUUGGGGAUCACGCCGCCGUGGGCGAUGGUGACGCCGGCGAGCAGCCUGCCGAGCUCCUGGUCGUUGCGGACGGCGAGCAGCAGGUGGCGCGGGAUGAUGCGGGUCUUCUUGUUGUCCUUGGCCGCGUUGCCGGCGAGCUCCAGGACCUGAGAUUCAACCAAGAACCAGAUCAGUCAGUUAUCUGUCCGGCACGACGAGAACAGAGUAACAGAGGCUCGAGGAGGGGAGAGAUCGGUGCAUACCUCUGCGGCGAGGUACUCGAGGACGGCGGCGAGGUAGACGGGGGCGCCGGAGCCGACGCGCUGGGCGUAGCGGCCCUUCUUGAGGUAGCGCCCGAUGCGGCCGACGGGGAACUGGAGCCCGGCCUUCACGGACCUGGUCACCGCCUUCUUCCUGUCGCCGCCCUUCCUUCCGGCCAUCCUGCUUCUACUUCUCCGGCGAGGUGGAAACUACUCGAGAUGCGUGGGCGGCGGUGCGGGAUCGGAAUGCGCUCUGCUCUGUGUUUGUGGGUUGGGACGCCCGCGAGGGCGCGGCUUUUAUUGGGGAGAUGAAGCUUCGUGGGGACGGCGGCAGGGGGGAGCGAUCCGCGUGACGCAGUGUGCCUGCCGUUGGAUCUGUGGGGAGUGGACGGUGGGGAUUGGUUUGGGGGUGCGAUCCGCGAGAGGGUCUUAUCGGCCAAUCACAGCGCAGGGAUUUGCAUCACGAAGGGAUUUUGCUUUAAUUAACAGCUGGUUUUCUUUUUGUGCAUCAUUUAGGCAUUUUUUUCACUUUAUCUUGCAUCUAGUUGGUUUUUCAGCUGUAGUAUUUACUUAUAUAUGUAUGUAUGUUUUGCUAUUACCUAACGUUUCGGUUUGGAUGCAUGUGCAAAGGCCCCAAAUUAGAUUUGGUAUUCCCCAAAUUCCAAUCUGGUUGUUUGGGGUGCACAUGAAAUAGUUGUCCGAAAUGGAACGAAUACAUGCAUGAAAUCGCUCACACGUGCCCGAGCCCUCCCACAUUUUUGAGCUCUUCGGCUUAGAUUUGGCUGGGAAUUACCCAUCGUGCAAAGGGUAACGAUUUGUCCCUUCUUUUCCCCAUCGACUACGGCACCCAGUAACCUCCCCUCGCCGGCCAUCCUCCUCCUCCUCCGGGACCUGAAUCCCCGACGUCGCGGCCCGUUCCCCUCCUCCCAUGCCCCCCCCCCCGUCUCCUCCUCAUGUGGCCUCCACGGCCUGGCCCUAGCUGUCUGUCGCCGCUUCUCCUCCAAUAUUAGAAUUACGAAAGGUACAUGAUGUUGAUGAAAGUAAUCAUCCUCACAAUUUGUGCCCACACAAAUUGGCAACGAUAGAACGGAUCCGACAAAAUAGAAAGAGGAAAAAGAGCUCCAAGAAUAACCUUAAGAAAAAUUCUUGGAAGAGCGUAAGGAUGGGCCUUACUAUCCCAAGAAUCUCCAUCCUCUCCACUAAGGUAAAAUAAUUCAAUUUCACUAGCUUAUUCUAACAAAGUUGUGUUGGCUGCAGGUUUUUGUGAAGGGUACGACUGCUGGUACAAGCGUGACUACUCGUACCUCUGUAAAUUUUUACCAAUGCCAAGAGACUCGAUAGUGCUCGUACCAUGGGCCAAAUUCUUCUUUGAACAGAGGCAAUGUCUUUCACGACAUGGUAAGACCUAUGUUACAAGCACGAGCACUCGUACCAUAGGCCGUCUUCCACUUGGAACCCAAAACCUUAAAAGCAUUUCUUUUUCCCAUGUGUUGGCACCCUAGUUAGACCACCAGUACGAGCCUGGCCGCUCCGACUAGAGGUCGUCUUUCUCUCUAGAAAAUAAGAUAGUUUUUGCCAGAACCCAAUACGUACACGGGUACGAGCACCAGCGCUCGACCCACCCUGUCUAUUUCUUUGGUUCUGUGAUAACUUGCAAAUUCUCUAGAAAUUUGCCUGUUUGUUUCCUAAUCUUAUUUAGUUAUCCUUAUCUCAUGAAACCGUGUGGUUAUGCCCUAAGGGGACCACCGGCAGAUUGUUGACCCAAAUUGUCAUUUCUAGUACCGACCAUAUUCUCUUUAGGCGGUUAUGCCCUAAUAAAGAGUCAUACGUCUGGUACUAAUUGGAAGGAUCGAUGUGAUCGACUAGAGGGGGUGAACUACAAGAUUUAGGCUUAUCUUCUAAUUUUAGGAAUUCUGGGUAAUGUAGGUUCUCUAUUUGUGCAACUAUGUGAACACAACCUGUAUGGAAAAUAAGCUCAAAGCAAAGUAUGCUUGGCAACAAUCUAAUUAGCAAGCCAACAAGCAAGCAAGUGAAGGGAGAUAAAUGAUUAACCACCAAUUAGCCAAGGAUGCAUAUAUUAUCUCAAAGUUCACACACUUCUGGGAGUGCUAAUCUCCAUUGGAGCAGUGCCAAAACCCAAGUCUAGAACGCCACCAUGUGGCUCACUAUAUUCUACCUUUGAGUCACCCCAGCAGAUAAGCCUCGAAUCACUCGGGGUUGGUCUCGAUGGCAACCACCACACAUUUACAAACUUCUCCGUGGCACACCAGAUGCAAGGAAACUUCUGGAAGAACCUAUACCACCUAGAUUAGUGAUGGCCGAUGCUUCCCUACACACCUUCACUCCCUUAAGCUUCUGUUCUUCCUUGGCUUUAUUCAGCAAAGCAGUCAAUCCUUCAGUAUGUAACAUAAGCAAAUAAGGUGACAAUUGAUCACCUUGUCUCAAGCCUCUGGAUGGUUUAAAAGUUUCUGUUUCUUUUGAGUUAAAACGUACAUGGUAUUCCACUGUACUAAUACAUUGCAUAACCAGUUUAACCCACUCUUUAGGAAUUUCCUAUUUCAGUAGAAUACCUUCCAAAUACAGCCAUUCAACUCGGUCAUAUGCCUUAUACAUGCCUAGCUUCACUGCACACCAACCAUUAUGGCCAUCUCUCAUGUACUUUAUCGCAUGAAAACUUUCAUAGGUAAUCAAUCACACUCAAAUUAGCUAGAGUAUAGAAGCCCUAAGGCUCCCGCUCCUAACCCUACCCUCACUCCCGCUCCUGUGCCGCGCCGCAUCGGAGCGCCCCCGCCCCUUCCUCCGGUCCUCUCCAACACCAUCUCCCCUACCGCCGCUGUCGGGGGCUCGCGGGCAAAGCUCGUGCGCCGCAGCGGUGGCGGCGACGCUUGUCCUCGGCAAGAUCUGGUCAGGGGCGGCGGUUGAUUGCAUGUAUCUGCGUUGGUAAUUCCCCGAAGAGUAGAGGAGGAUGCAGUACAGCAAAGGUAAGUAUUUCCCUCAGUUAUGAAACCAAGGUUAUUAAUCUAGUAGGAGAACCAAGCAACACUGUGUAAACAACACCUGCACACAAACAACAAAAACUUGCAACCCAACGCGUAGAGGGGUUGUCAAUCCCUCCUCGGUUUUGAGAUAGAUUAAUUGUAUGAGAUUUGAUAAAUAGAUCUAACUAAAACACACACAAAAAAGUGCAGCACAGUAUUUUUAGAUUUAAUAUGAUAGGAAAUAGAGCCAGGGUCUGUAAAUUUCACUAGAGGAUUUUCUCAAGAAAAUAGCAUACGGUGGGUAAACAAAUUACUGUUGGGCACUUGAUAGAAAAGCGAAUAAUCAUGAUGAUAUCCAAGGCAAUGAUCCUGUAUAUAUGCAUCACGUCCAAGAUUAGUAGACCAACUCCUGCCUGCAUCUACUACUAUUACUCCACACAUCAACCGCUAUCCAGCAUGCAUCUAGUGUAUUAAGUUCAUGGAAAAACAGAGUAAUGAAAUAAGAACAAUGACAUUAUAUAGACAAGAUCUAUUCAUGUAGGAAUAGACUCCAUCUUGUUAUCCUUAAUAGCACGACACAUGCGUGUCAUGUCUCUUUCUGUCACUAAGAUUGAGCACCGCAAGAUUGAACCCAUCACAAAGCGCCUCUUCCCAUGGUAAGAAAAAUCAAUCUAGUUGGCCAAACCAAACCAAAGUUUCGGAGAAGAAAUACGAGGCUAUAAAGAUCAUGCAUAAAAGAGUUCAGCAAAGACUCAAAUAAUAUUCAUGGAUAGAACUGAUCAUAAACCCAUAAUUCAUUGGAUCCCAACAAACACACCGCAAAAAGUCAUUACAUCAAAUAGAUCUCGAAGAACAUCGAGGAGAACAUUGUAUUGAUGAUCAAAAAGAGAGAAGAAGCCAUCUAGCUACUACCUACAGACUCAUAUGUCUGUGGUAAACUACUCACUCAUCAUCGAAGGGGCAACAAGGAUGAUGAAGAACCCCUCCGUGAUUGUUGGCCCCUCCGGGAGAGUACCGAAAAAGGACUCUAGAUUCGAUCUAGUGGUUCUGGAACUUGCGGCGGCUGGAAAGGUGUUUCGUCGACUCCCCUAGGGUUUUUGGGAUUUUAGAGUAUUUAUAGAGGUGGAUGUCGGUAGAGAAGCUUCCCAUGGGCUCCACUACCCACCAGGGCGCGCCUGGGCCUUCUAGCGCGCCCUGGUGCCUAGUGGGCCCCACAGGCCUCCUCCCAUGCACUUCUUUGGCUCCCUGGGUGUCUUUUGUCCAGAAAAAAUUCUCCAAAAAGUUUCGUGGCAUUUAGACUUUGUUUGGUAUUGAUAUUCUGCAAAGUAAAAACAAGCAGAAAACAACAACUGGCAUUGGGCACUAUGUCAAUAGGUUAGUCCCAAAAAAUGAUAUAAAGUUGCUAGUAAAUGAGUAUAAAACAUCAAAGAUUGAUAAUAUAACAGCAUGAAACAAUCAAAAAUUGUAGGUACGUUGGAGACGUAUCAGCGGUCCACGCCGGCCGGACAUACGUCAGUGGCGCAGGGCAGCGACGUACGGCGACGGGUCUGGCACCGGUGGCUUGGGCGCCCGAUCUGAUCUCAGAUGGGUUUUGGUGGGCUGCACGAGCUGUUGUCGUGUACCAUCCCUGUUCCGUCAAUGGCAUGUUGGCACUGGGCUCUACCCGCAACACGAGGACGUUGGGGGCUCCGGCCCUGGGCGUGGCGGUGGUGGCCACCUCCUUCGCCGGAGCUGGUUGGCCCGAGGCUGGGUGGUCAGAUCUCAAGAUCCGUCAUCUAGUCCCGGCUGCUAGUUGGGGAGACAUAGUUGCCGAUGAAAACCGAGCCGAUGGCGGCGUUUUGCGUGUUACCUUGUUGAAGGCAUCAUCGUGUAGCUGUUGUUGACCCACUCGUGCUACUUCAUGGAAAACCCUAAGAUCUGGUCUUCCAGAUCGGACGAUGGCGGUACUGCGGUGCCGUUACUCUCUUGGGAGCAUCAUUUGUGGAGCAGCACUAGAAGACAGAGGCAGGAGGUGGAGCGGCUUCGUCUUGCACGGAGCUUCAGUGGAGCUGUCAAAUCAUGCCUGGCCGACGGGUGCUACGCCGAGUCAUGCAUGGUUGGCAGGUGCUACGCACGACUUAUCUUCCAGAGUCUUCGCAUCUGGACAGACGAGCGUAGGGCGAUGGCGCCGUUGGGCACCGUGGUGGUGUCGACGGAUGUCGGAUUGGCAAGGAUGAUGCAGAUCUCUCUCCUCAAGAUGGGUCAAUGGUCGAUGAGGAUGGCGGCUUCUAAAAUGUGUGCAUGUGGUGUGCGCUUUAGGUCUGCUGCACUGGUUGUUGGUUCCGAUACGUUAUGUGAAUGGAUUGGCAACGACACCAGUUUUAGAUAUGGGGAGUGAGAGCACUCUACAUUACCUGUUACAGUUGGCGCUAAAUGUAAAAAAAGAAAAGGCCAAGAACGAAACCUCUGACUAUUCACCGUAGAUUAUUACCUGUUACAUUUUGCAGCCUUUUUUUCUAUCUGAAAGUAGUGUGUGUUUUAUUGAUGAACAUGAAGCGCAGCAUCAACUUAGUUAUUUACCCAGCAAUCUUGGCCCUCCUAGGACAAACAUUCUUGUACUGGAUAAUUUGUCCUUUGAAGGGCCUGAUCUCUGCCCUUAUGUUGAUGAGUCCCAAUAUCUGAUUCUGUUUUCGGUCAGUCCAAAAUUAGCAUUCCACAAGUCUAAAGAACGUCUUGUAUUAAUGUACGGAGAGAGUACCCUGUUUGGUCAGUGGCACAUAAAUAAGACCCUGUUUGGUCAGUUUUUCAGUUUUGUGGUUUGUUACGUACGUAUAUCUGACUAUCCAUGGUUCAGUUUGGAGACCAGCUCUAAAUCACAUGUAAAAUACAGUCCUUACUGGCUUGUUCAUCGAACUAAUGAAACAGCCACUACAGACUAGCAUUUACACACAGGAUCCAAUAAACCAAAAGUCACAUCAUCUUCUCCCUGAUACGGAACUAAGGGUCAGAUAGGCUACGGGGCGGCUACUCCUUGGUGGCGGCCGUCUUCUUCUUGGGAGACUUGGCGGUGGUCUUCUUCUUGGGCGACUUGGCCUCCUUCUCGGCGGCGGCAGGGGACUUCUUGGGGAGCAGCACGGAGUUGAUGUUGGGGAUCACGCCGCCGUGGGCGAUGGUGACGCCGGCGAGCAGCUUGCCGAGCUCCUGGUCGUUGCGGACGGCGAGCAGCAGGUGGCGCGGGAUGAUGCGGGUCUUCUUGUUGUCCUUGGCCGCGUUGCCGGCAAGCUCCAGGACCUGCGAUUCAACCAAGAACCAGAUCAGUCAGUCAUCCGUCGAACAGGACAAGAACAGGAGCGGGCAAGAACGGACGGGGAGGCCGGUAGUUACCUCGGCGGCGAGGUACUCGAGGACGGCGGCGAG
This 7039-nucleotide long non-coding RNA is filed under the name Triticum aestivum (bread wheat). Its description in RNAcentral is "long non-coding RNA (TAES_LNC012871)". Lineage: Eukaryota; Viridiplantae; Streptophyta; Magnoliopsida; Poales; Poaceae. The record is from RNAcentral.